AACGUAGGAGACGACCGUUAUCCGGAGUUACUGGGCGUAAAGGGCGUGCAGGCGGUCUGAUAAGUUCGGCGUGAAAUAUUCCGGCUUAACCGGGAUAGGUCGUCGGAGACUGUCGGACUAGAGGGUGAUAGAGGCGUGUGGAAUUCCGGGUGUAGUGGUGAAAUGCGUAGAGAUCCGGAGGAACACCAGUGGCGAAGGCGACACGCUGGGUCACACCUGACGCUAAAGCGCGACAGCAUGGGGAGCGAACGGG
This 253-nucleotide ribosomal RNA is filed under the name uncultured bacterium. Its description in RNAcentral is "partial 16S ribosomal RNA". It matches the Rfam family "Bacterial small subunit ribosomal RNA", at positions 524 to 776 of the family's 1533-position model. The record is from RNAcentral.